AGCAAGUUGGAAGAGAUAUAUGUGAAGUGAUGAACAAUGCCAAAAACGCGUUAUUGUCCAGUCGAACCGAAUCCCUUAUCACCGCGCGGCUCGCGGGAUAAGAACUCACUUCUUUGAACGCCGUGUUCUUCGUCUUUCUUAGUUCCUUCAACGUAUCGCACUGGUCCGUGGUACAUUGGGAUUACUGCAAGCUGCCCGAGGCGUGACGCCGCUUUUAAUGUAAUAAUGAGCAACAAACCUGCUGUGGAUAUCAUUGUUGCUGCGGCCAAUCCUGACCUCCCCUUAAUCAAACCAAAGUGGUUGAGGGGCAGUAUAACUUGGAUCCCCGUCUCCACCACACCAACACCGCCACCACUGAUUUCGCCAGAGUUUUGAGAAAAUAGGUCAUAUGCUGCUGAUCCAGGCGUAGCCUUCCUCGGAAACAUUGCCCGUCUAUGUCGACGAACAAAGAUAAGUCCGUCAACUGUGUGAGAAAUUAAUAGACAACAAUUUUAGUUAAUUAAUGAAGUAUUGGAAUUUAUUUAUUUUCAGAAUUGAUCCGGUGCUAAUUUGAAGGUAAGUAUUGAGAGGAUUUAUGGAGCAAUAACUAAUAAUCUAGUAUUUGUAACCAAAAUUUGAAUUUUAAAACUUUUAGUGAGCUUAACAUCAAAUAAAGCUCUAAGCGUCCGGUUUUGCCGGGAGCAUGCUACCAACGUCGUUGCGCAUUUCUUCUAACGCUUUUACUAAUGACCAAUAGUGGUCGACCAGAAUAUUUGCGCCCACAUUUUGAUUUUUGCGUAAAGAUAAAUAUGUUUUUGAGUUGUUAUGCCAUGUUUGGAGUCGGAGGUAGUAUUCGCCUCCUAAAAACCCCUCCCACCAAAUUGAAUUUUGCGAAUCUUUCUUCUCUUCGUAGGACGAGAAGUUUUUCUUAAUUGUACCUGGCUGUUCACCUGCUCCUCCGCCGCUGACGUGAGGCUGGGGAUCCUUCUUGGAUGUCUUGACUUGGUCCUUCACGAUCCUCUUCGCAGGCUUCUUAUCGUCGUCGCCUGAAAUUCCAGAUCCCGAUCCCUGCCUAGGUCCUUCGUUAGACUUUUUCAUGGGCUUCUUUUCCGCAUCCUUAACUUCUUCUCGUCUACCUGUAAAUAAGAGCGUAAGCGUAAUGUAAAUUUACAAAUUAAAAAAUAAAAUAAAUGAGUAAAAUAAAACGAUAAAUCUUACGGUCGCUAUCCUUAUGUUUCUUCUCGGCUUCCUUUCUGCCCUUGUGGGUCGUCUUGUUCUUGGCGUCUCUUCUCGGGGAUCGGUCCGAUUCCGAGUCGUCCGACCAAAUUGCUUUCUUGCUCCUAGGCCUUUUACCCUCAUCG
Long non-coding RNA from Folsomia candida, 1340 nucleotides. RefSeq lists it as uncharacterized. NCBI's taxonomy places the organism in Eukaryota, Metazoa, Arthropoda, Collembola, Entomobryomorpha, Isotomidae. The record is from RefSeq and is a predicted model, not a curated record. The transcript is spliced from 3 exons.